CCCUAAGGCGAGGCCGAAAGGCGUAGUCGAUGGGAAACGGGUUAAUAUUCCCGUACUUGGUGUUACUGCGAAGGGGGGACGGAGAAGGCUAUGUUGGCCGGGCGACGGUUGUCCCGGUUUAAGCGUGUAGGUGUGUGUUCCAGGUAAAUCCGGUUCACUUUAACACUGAGGCGUGAUGACGAGGCACUACGGUGCUGAAGCAACAAAUGCCCUGCUUCCAGGAAAAGCCUCUAAGCAUCAGGUAACAUCAAAUCGUACCCCAAACCGACACAGGUGGUCAGGUAGAGAAUACCAAGGCGCUUGAGAGAACUCGGGUGAAGGAACUAGGCAAAAUGGUGCCGUAACUUCGGGAG
This 353-nucleotide ribosomal RNA is filed under the name Salmonella enterica subsp. enterica serovar Typhimurium var. 5- str. CFSAN004345. RNAcentral's name for it is "bacterial LSU rRNA". It matches the Rfam family "Bacterial large subunit ribosomal RNA", at positions 1389 to 1742 of the family's 2925-position model. Lineage: Bacteria; Pseudomonadati; Pseudomonadota; Gammaproteobacteria; Enterobacterales; Enterobacteriaceae. The record is from RNAcentral.